CUGCGCCACAAGUGGUGGUCGCGUUUAUUGGGCCUAAAGCGUCCGUAGCUGGAUUGGUAACUCCUUUGUGAAAUUGUCGGGCUUAACCUGACAACGUGCAGAAGAAACUGCUAAUCUUGAGACCGGAGAGAAGUUAGAAGUAUGCCAGGGGGAGCGGUAAAAUGCUAUAAUCCUUGGUAGACUACCUGUGGCGAAGGCGUCUAACUAGAACGGAUCUGACAGUGAGGGACGAAAGCUAGGGGAGCAAUCCGGAUUAGAUACCCGAGUAGUCC
Molecule: ribosomal RNA, 272 nt
Filed under: uncultured archaeon
Lineage: Archaea
Description: partial 16S ribosomal RNA
Rfam family: Archaeal small subunit ribosomal RNA
Source: RNAcentral